GAGUUUGAUCAUGGCUCAGAUUGAACGCUGGCGGCAGGCCUAACACAUGCAAGUCGAGCGGAUGACGGGAGCUUGCUCCUUGAUUCAGCGGCGGACGGGUGAGUAAUGCCUAGGAAUCUGCCUGGUAGUGGGGGACAACGUUUCGAAAGGAACGCUAAUACCGCAUACGUCCUACGGGAGAAAGCAGGGGACCUUCGGGCCUUGCGCUAUCAGAUGAGCCUAGGUCGGAUUAGCUAGUUGGUGGGGUAAUGGCUCACCAAGGCGACGAUCCGUAACUGGUCUGAGAGGAUGAUCAGUCACACUGGAACUGAGACACGGUCCAGACUCCUACGGGAGGCAGCAGUGGGGAAUAUUGGACAAUGGGCGAAAGCCUGAUCCAGCCAUGCCGCGUGUGUGAAGAAGGUCUUCGGAUUGUAAAGCACUUUAAGUUGGGUAGGAAGGGCAGUAAGUUAAUAACCUUGACUGUUUUGACGUUACCGACUAGAAUAAGCACCGGCUAACUCU
Molecule: ribosomal RNA, 504 nt
Filed under: bacterium enrichment culture clone ALO1_GLFRUDD03HIQLF
Lineage: Bacteria
Description: bacterial SSU rRNA
Rfam family: Bacterial small subunit ribosomal RNA
Source: RNAcentral